Molecule: long non-coding RNA, 5188 nt
Organism: Sapajus apella (tufted capuchin)
Lineage: Eukaryota; Metazoa; Chordata; Mammalia; Primates; Cebidae
Exons: 3
Source: RefSeq, a predicted model, not a curated record
GAUGGGAUUUUCACCAUGUUGCCCAUUCUGGUCUUGAACUCCUGGGCUCAAGCGAUCCACUAGUCUCAGCUCCCAAAAUGCUGGGAUUACAGGAGUGAGCAGGGAUUUUUAAUCUUUAUGUUCUGAUUUAUCAUUUGUUCCUUAGGGCUUUGGCUUUUAGGUCUAUGAUCUACCUCAGAUUAAUUUCUGUAUAUGGUGUAAGAUAAGAGUUAAAAGUUAAUUUUUUUCUUAUAAAUAUCCUUGUAAACAGUAACAAACAACAUUGUUUGGCACAGACUUUGCUUUAUAUCCAAAUUGAGUAAUCAGUAUUACAUUAUAAAAUUAUUAGUUCUUUCAAAGUACUUGCAUGAUUAGCUAGCUCAUUGUUUACAGAAGCUAUUCUUUUAGGUCAGAAUUAUGGGUUUAUAUCUUUAGGAUCCAGUUAACUUGGCCUUGUUUUGUGGCCAUCGAAUGUAUUUUUCCUAACUUGCUUUAGUCAUUUGGUAGAUUUCUUUCAUCCUAAGAGGGUAUAUGAUAACUUCAUCAUGCUAUGAGAUAAAACAUUAGAGCAUAUGCCUUACCUGACUGUUAACUAAUUUUGUGUGAAAGAGAGUACAUUAUUACUUUUUAAGGAUACAGUAUUCAUAGUAUUAUAAUGUCUAAUGUAGCAUACUGUUUUUAUGCCAUACUAAAAUAAGCAAAAAUACGUUGAUUUUAGUAAACAUUAGUAAAUAAUUUUUCAGAGUUUUGUAUAAAGUGAGAAAUGUAGAUCUGACACUGUAAAGUCCAUUUGUUAGGUUUUGUGUGUAAAUGAUGGUGAGUAUAAAAAUUCAAGACAGAGGAAAAUUCAAAAUGUACAUUUUUGUAUACUUGUGCCAAUGUAUAGACCAUUCCAUGAACCCAAUUAUUGCCUUACAUUUCUGAGAUACCAGUGUUAAACAUGAGUUAUCUUUUAAGAGGCUGAAUUUGAAUUAUAUUACUCUGUUAGGAUUUUUGCCAGCUUUUGGUUAAUCAUUAUCUUGUUGAUUAUGUUUGGUUCAGGAUGACUCAUUUUUCAAGGAGCUUUAUUGCAACAUUACAUAUUUACUACAGGAAGCCUGGACGGAAAUGGGGCAUCAGGUUAUUGGAGAUUUUUUCUCCAAUCUUUAUUGCACCAAGUUUUAUUAAAGUUAAUUAUUUUUCAGUAACUGAAUUCCCUGUAGAACCUAGUACUUCAUUAACCAAAUGUUAUAGGAACAGUUACUCCUUUUUCAUUGCAGACAAAUAUAUAUCUUUGAUGAUUGUUUAAAUAUUGGUCAUACUUCCAUACUAUACAUUGACUAAACUUAGGUGGAGUAUUUUAUUCUCAUCGAAUUGAAUAUGGUCAUUAACUGAGAAUUUUGGAAUCAGAAAGGUUGGAGAUUUACCCUUGUUUGUAAAAUUUACUAGCUUUGGAAGCUUGGUCAGAUACCUCUCUGAGCCUUAGCAUUCAUUCAGUCUUUAAUGAGUGAAUUAACACAUUCAUUUAUUAAUGAAUUUGGAUAAGAAUAAUUACCUUGCAAGAUUAGAUUAAAAGGACAUAUAAAAGUAUUAGCACUUAAUAUGUGCUUAAUGACGAUAAUGAUCUAUUGACACUUGCUUAUAGUAAGUAUUGAAGUUAGGAGUGCCAGUCAUUUAGCCCUUCUCUCUCCAGGUUCUGAGAGAUAAAGGACACAGCAUAAGGCCAGUACUCUGGUCUGUUUCUAAAAUUUAGGCUCUCUGAUAUCAGCAGAAUUUGAGACCAUAACAUGGAUCUAAGGAUAAGUUGAGAGUCUGCUGCAGUCACCAGUGAAUCCAGACUGUGAGACUGUAGGGGAAUUCAUUCUGCCAUGGCUACUCUGAAUACACUUAAUCUGGCAACUAGUGAGAAGAUUAGAGGCUUACUUUAUGUACCUAGUUAUCAGCCUAACAAGAGCUGAAGUGAGAAAGGGAAAGAUGGCCUUGUUCUCUAUGCAGUAACCUAAUUUCCUUCUUGUUAAAAAUAAGGUCCAAGGAAAGCUAACCCACCAAAUUAGUAACAUCCCUUCCCCCUCUACCCCUGCAAGAGUUUGUGGCUUGAGUUUGUGGAAAGGAGACUGGGAGUUUUCUGUAAUACCUAAUACAGUAACUACCCUGUCUCCACCCUGCCCUCUACUGCGGGAAAGAGAAGGGAAGUCUCAUUCUUUAUAAUAGGAGAUUAGUAUAAGAGCGCCCCCUACUUUGAAAAAGUAAAUUUCACUUCUGUUCAGUGUUUUUAUAGCCUCAUAGAAUAAAUACAGUAGAAGAGCCCUGCAAAAAUGAAAAGCCAUGCAAGGAAUCAAAGUAAAUGUUGGCUUAGGGAAGUAAAUCGUGUCUUUAUUUUUUGAGACACGAUUUCUGUCACCCAGGUUGGAAGUGCAGUGGUGAGAUCACUGCUCUUUGUGGCUUUGACCUCCGAGGAUCAGGCGAUCCUCUCACCUCUGAUUCCCGAGUGGUUGGGACCACAGGCAUGCACCACCACUCCUGGCUAAUUUUUGUAUUUUUUUGUAGAGACGAGAUUUAGCCAUAUGGCCAGGCUGGUCUCCAACUAUGUGGGCUCAAGCGAUCUGCUUGCCUCAGCUUCCCGAAAUACUGGGUUUACAGGCAUGAGCCACCAUGCUGCCAGCCAUCUUUUAUUUUUAAUAGAAAAAUUGAUGUUCGUAGAGAAAAAUAACUCCCCAAAAAGGUAGAUAUAGGCAAUAAAAAUCACAAGUCAUCUAUUGGCAGGAGGUGAUAAGAGCUCUGUUUGCAAAGAAAUAUUUCAAGUGUCUACUUGAACAAAUACUCAAAAAUUUUUAAUGAAAAAGUAAGAUAGAAAUAGGGGAGACACUCUAGAGCACCGGGAGAAGGCUUGGUGUUUAACUCAAGAGGCACCUGUUUUAAUGAAUGGGGAGGGGCUGGUUGUGGUGGCUCACACCUGUAAUCCCAGCACUUUGGAAGACCAAGGUGGGAGGAUUGCUUGAGGCCAGGAGUUCAAGACCAGCCUGGGCAAGAUAGACCUAAAAAAAAGAAGGAAAAUUUUUAAAAAAUGAAAAAGUGGUAAGGAUGCUAAUUUGGGGAGGAAUAUUUCUUCCUGAAGUCUGCUAUUUUCUCUUUGAAAGAGGAAAUGAGGACACAUUCUGGGAAGUAUGAGGUAGAAAACUGGAAAAUUGAAAGCUGGAAGAGUGUUAUGGGAAUUUGGAAUAGUUACUGGGGCAAUGGGAAUUGGAGUUCACUUGGAAAAUACAGAGAGACAAAAAUGAGUUUGAUGACCAUGGGUUUUUAUGGUGGUCUGUUGUGUGUAUAUAUUCUCAUUCCUUCCCUCUGUCUGUCUCUCCAGUACUCAGCAGCCACUGUAUAGAAACAGAAAAUCUGAGCAGUCAAAACGUUCUGGUAUUGGUGGAGACAGGACUUGACAAAGAAAAGUGGUGUGGGAAGACCCAGGGGCCAAAAGUUUAAAGUAUUGCAGUGAGAGUGGUUGAAGUGAUAUGUCUUGGGGGUUUAGGCUGGAGAGGGAACAAAUUGAAGCCAAGACAAGGCUGAUAGGUGGGGAGAAGUGGAAGAAUAUUAACACCAAAAGUUUCCAUGAAGCUAAAGAGUGAAUUGGGAUGGGAAAUAGGAGUGAAAGAGACAAAGGGUAAGAACUUCUGGUUAUGGGCCAAGAUAAAGAGUUUUAAGAUUUCAGAUGAAUAAUUGCUGGGGAUGAUAAAGUGAGUGGUUAUAGAGGUGAAUUAUUCAACUGAGUAGUGGCUAUCUCUUCACUCCUUAAGGAGGAGAGCAGCUAGGAUAUUCACGUGGAUCUGGAAGUCGCCCAUGCUAAAGGUGGUUGGAAAGGUAAGUUAGAUAGUAAGAUCAAAACUUUAUAAGUAAGUUGAAGAGUGACUGAGAAGUUGAUUGAUGAUAACGAUUAAUAAUUAGGUUAGUUGUUAGGUGCUAGUUAUAAAGAAGGAAGGUUUCUUAGGAGGCAUUUGGAGUAGUCAUAUGUAUGCAGCAAUAGAAAGAACACAGGAAAAUGCUGUUAGCUCCCUGUUUUCUAUAUGAGAGGUAUAUGAGAAAGAAUAGUUGCCCUUUUGACCCAGUUGUAAUGGAAGUGGUGUCCUGUGGGAAAGCUGGUUUCAAUUAGAGCGAAAAGGUAAAUUGAGGUUCUGUGAAGGGUCUAGAGCAGUUUAUUUGAAAAUAAGCAUUACAAAUGGCAAUAGUGAAAAAGGUUGGAAAAGAGGGUAACCUUUUGGGAGAGUGAAUGGGUAAGCAAGAGGAGGAACCCAAGCCUUACACAAAGUCAAAGUCGUAAUUUACUAGUGAGAUGGUAAAUGUACCAGGGAAAUGAAAGUGAUCUGUGGGCUAUUGUGGAAGCAUGGAAAGAGACCAUUUACUUUAAAGUGAUAAGUAUAUGAAGUAUCAUUUAUGCCAGUCUUAAAAAACAAUUUUGACAUUGGAUCAUUCUUUAAUGAGAUGAACAAUGGCUGAGUAAAUAAGGUUGCUAAGAUUUAGAAUGUAAAUAACAGUAUUGUGUAGACAUGGGAAAAAGAAUUUCAACAAAAAUUAUAGCCUUGCUCUACAUAUGACCUACAACCUGUAGAUAGCAGUCUUUUAUAAUUUGGUAUAAAUGCUUAUAUGGAUAAAUGUUAAUUUGAGGUUGUCAUGUAUUUGGUUGUCAGGCAUGUUGAAUUCGAUGAAUGCCGAUUUCUUAUUUGCUGGUCAUUGAGAUCAAAAGCUCUCUUUUGGCUUGAACUCAAUUUCUCCAGUUGAAAAGAUAGUUUUGUAAAUUCUGGCAGUAAUUCAGACUUAACAAACUUUCUUCAUAGAGACAGUAAUCCUCAAGUUCUGCAGUUUGACACUAAAUAUCAUAACAAUUCUAAAUUCAUAUCUGAAGGAAUGUUUUAAAUCUUUUUUGGCAUUUUUAAAGAGUUUUUGCAGAUACUCAUAGUCUUGGCAUGCCCUCUGUUGAAUCUUUCGUGGGAGAAAGAACGUAAAGCAAAGGACUGAAAUUUCCAGUGCUUUCCAGGGGACGGUAUGGGGAAUAGGCAGGAAAUCAGAGCCCACCUAGAGCACAGUUGAUUCCAAGUGUUUUCCACUUUCCCUGUUCUCUCCAUGGGCUGCCUGCUGUAUUCUCCUAAGGAUGACUCUGAGAAAUUAAGUGAAUUGCAUCUCCUAAUUGUUGUCUACAACAGUAAUGUGACAGAAGUAUAGGACUUUUAAGUUCUUUUAAUUGAAG